RNAcentral lists this transfer RNA (71 nucleotides) under Coturnix delegorguei (harlequin quail). Its description in RNAcentral is "tRNA-Val". Lineage: Eukaryota; Metazoa; Chordata; Aves; Galliformes; Phasianidae. The record is from RNAcentral.
CAAGGCGUAGCUAUAAACUCCAAAGCAUUCAGCUUACACCUGAAAGAUACCCUUAACAAGGGUCGCCUUGA